RNAcentral lists this ribosomal RNA (876 nucleotides) under Staphylococcus aureus. Its description in RNAcentral is "partial 23S ribosomal RNA". It matches the Rfam family "Bacterial large subunit ribosomal RNA", at positions 1325 to 2196 of the family's 2925-position model. Lineage: Bacteria; Bacillati; Bacillota; Bacilli; Caryophanales; Staphylococcaceae. The record is from RNAcentral.
GAAUCCCGUCCACCGAUUGACUAAGGUUUCCAGAGGAAGGCUCGUCCGCUCUGGGUUAGUCGGGUCCUAAGCUGAGGCCGACAGGCGUAGGCGAUGGAUAACAGGUUGAUAUUCCUGUACCACCUAUAAUCGUUUUAAUCGAUGGGGGGACGCAGUAGGAUAGGCGAAGCGUGCGAUUGGAUUGCACGUCUAAGCAGUAAGGCUGAGUAUUAGGCAAAUCCGGUACUCGUUAAGGCUGAGCUGUGAUGGGGAGAAGACAUUGUGUCUUCGAGUCGUUGAUUUCACACUGCCGAGAAAAGCCUCUAGAUAGAAAAUAGGUGCCCGUACCGCAAACCGACACAGGUAGUCAAGAUGAGAAUUCUAAGGUGAGCGAGCGAACUCUCGUUAAGGAACUCGGCAAAAUGACCCCGUAACUUCGGGAGAAGGGGUGCUCUUUAGGGUUAACGCCCAGAAGAGCCGCAGUGAAUAGGCCCAAGCGACUGUUUAUCAAAAACACAGGUCUCUGCUAAACCGUAAGGUGAUGUAUAGGGGCUGACGCCUGCCCGGUGCUGGAAGGUUAAGAGGAGUGGUUAGCUUCUGCGAAGCUACGAAUCGAAGCCCCAGUAAACGGCGGCCGUAACUAUAACGGUCCUAAGGUAGCGAAAUUCCUUGUCGGGUAAGUUCCGACCCGCACGAAAGGCGUAACGAUUUGGGCACUGUCUCAACGAGAGACUCGGUGAAAUCAUAGUACCUGUGAAGAUGCAGGUUACCCGCGACAGGACGGAAAGACCCCGUGGAGCUUUACUGUAGCCUGAUAUUGAAAUUCGGCACAGCUUGUACAGGAUAGGUAGGAGCCUUUGAAACGUGAGCGCUAGCUUACGUGGAGGCGCUGGUGGG